GGGGCUUAGGUGGGGUGUCCCGAGGAGUCACUGGGGUACCUGUCCAAGGUCCGGCCCUCGGGGCCCGGCCUGAGGCGGGAAGGGGCUCCGGAGCUACGGGGAGGCAAGAUGACAUCUCUGCCCCAAGAUUGGAACAGCUGAAGGGAGUCACUGGACAAGAUGAGAACCACAAAGGUCUACAAACUGGUCAUCCACAAGAAGGGCUUUGGGGGCAGUGAUGAUGAGUUAGUUGUGAACCCAAAGUGUUUCCUCACAUCAAGCUCGGAGACAUUGUGGAGAUUGCUCACCCAAUGACGAAUACAGGUGAGCAUCUUGCUAACAUCAAGG
This is a non-coding RNA of Castor canadensis (American beaver), 327 nucleotides long. Lineage: Eukaryota; Metazoa; Chordata; Mammalia; Rodentia; Castoridae. The record is from RefSeq and is a predicted model, not a curated record.